RNAcentral lists this unclassified non-coding RNA (318 nucleotides) under Hevea brasiliensis (rubber tree). The record is from RNAcentral. Lineage: Eukaryota; Viridiplantae; Streptophyta; Magnoliopsida; Malpighiales; Euphorbiaceae.
GCUUUUUACAAGAAGCUGUUGGAGGUAGAGAGAGAACAUUAAAGGGUAUUUAUCUCAUAAACAAUAUCAACGCUAGCUCAAAGAGGAAGGGGGCACAAGGAAAUCCUGAAGUAUUACUUGAAACCCUAAGAAUACGACGAGAAGAGGAGGAAGUGGAGGAUGAGGAGUGAAUAAUGCAGAAACUAUAAUUAGAAUCAGGAUUUUAUCAUCUCUCAAUGCUCAAAGCCCUUCACAUUGUAAUAUCUGAGCAGCUAGGAUAACCCAUGAUAAAGAAAUAGCUAGUAUAAAUAAAGUUAAAAUUAAUCAGCCAAUGGCAUU